GACGAACGCUGGCGGCGUGCCUAAUACAUGCAAGUUGAGCGCUGAAGGUUGGUACUUGUGCCAACUGGGUGAGCAGCGAACGGGUGAGUAACGCGUGGGGAAUCUGCCUUUGAGCGGGGGACAACAUUUGGAAACGAAUGCUAAUACCGCAUAAAAACUUUAAACACAAGUUUUAAGUUUGAAAGAUGCAAUUGCAUCACUCAAAGAUGAUCCCGCGUUGUAUUAGCUAGUUGGUGAGGUAAAGGCUCACCAAGGCGAUGAUACAUAGCCGACCUGAGAGGGGGAUCGGCCACAUUGGGACUGAGACACGCCCCAAACUCCUACGGGAGGCAGCAGUAGGGGAUCUUCGGCAAGGGACGAAAGUCUGACCGAGCAACGCCGCGUGAGUGAAGAAGGUUGUCGGAUCGUAAAACUCUGUUGGUAGAGAAGAACGUUGGUGAGAGUGGAAAGCUCAUCAAGUGACGGUAACUACCCAGAAAGGGACGGCUAACUACGUG
Molecule: ribosomal RNA, 497 nt
Filed under: uncultured bacterium
Lineage: Bacteria
Description: partial 16S ribosomal RNA
Rfam family: Bacterial small subunit ribosomal RNA
Source: RNAcentral